Molecule: ribosomal RNA, 369 nt
Filed under: uncultured organism
Description: bacterial SSU rRNA
Rfam family: Bacterial small subunit ribosomal RNA
Source: RNAcentral
CGAAGGGGGCAAGCGUUGUUCGGAAUUACUGGGCGUAAAGGGCGCGUAGGCGGCUCUUUUAGUCAGGUGUGAAAGCCCUGGGCUCAACCUGGGAGUGGCACUUGAUACUGGAGGGCUAGAGAGUGGGAGAGGUUGGUGGAAUUCCCAGUGUAGAGGUGAAAUUCGUAGAUAUUGGGAAGAACACCGGUGGCGAAGGCGGCCAACUGGACCAUUUCUGACGCUGAGGCGCGAAAGCGUGGGGAGCAAACAGGAUUAGAUACCCUGGUAGUCCACGCCCUAAACGAUGAAUACUCGAUGUGUGCACCUUGUGUGUACGCGUCCAAGCAAAAGCGUUAAGUAUUCCACCUGGGAAGUACGGCCGCAAGGUUA